Long non-coding RNA from Astatotilapia calliptera (eastern happy), 1139 nucleotides. NCBI's taxonomy places the organism in Eukaryota, Metazoa, Chordata, Actinopteri, Cichliformes, Cichlidae. The record is from Ensembl.
CUGAAGAAUGGCUCUUUGACCCGCCUGUUGAUCAGGAUCUUUGACCUCCCUGCUGAUCAUGAGACCUCGUCCUGCCAUCCUCUCCCCGAGGAGCCACAGGAAACAAGCUCUUGUGACACAGUGGUCUGUGCAGCCAUGGAGAGGCCCAUUACUGCAGUCACAUGGCAGGUUAGCGCAGGGACUGAUGCGACCAUGUGAGCUCUAUUUUCUAAAUAGCUACAGCUGCCCUGGGGCUCAUGAGAGUUUCACACAGGACAUAUAAAAUGCCAGAAAGUGCAUGAGGGGUUUAGAUUUCAGAUAAAAUUUGUCUCUUUCUCAUUUGUUUUGUUUUGUUUGUUUGUUUGUCUUUUUGUUUGUUUUUUUAUCUGUGCAAAAAUGAGUCAGCUCUAAAGAGAUGAAGGUGAUCUUUGGUUUUAGCAGCAGGUGUAAUAGGCGAGGUCUUGACAUUAGAUGUUUACAAAGCCCCACGUGACUUUUAAACCUUUGCUUUUUAAGAAUCUUUUAAGUUUUUGAUUAUUUUUUAAAAGGGGACUUUUAACGCACAUCCAAAUAUCAUGGUUGCACGUAGGGAAACAUAAGCUUCAGUAUAAGGAAGAAGAGGAAGAGGAAGAAAAGUGAAAGUCGUAAAUGCUAUAAAAUACUGUCCCUUUAUAUGACAGUGAAUCACGGCUGGCACUGCAGACUGCCCCCAAUAAAUUAAAGGAGCUCUACUUCGUUUUAACUGAAUUCAAUCACAUCUAAGAUACAAAUAGAAUCCAUGCGAUGAGUAAUUGUUUUUUAAUAUGUGUAAAGUCAUUUCAAAAUCAUUGAGUUUAUCUAAAUAAAUUGUCGGUCUAUUUUUCUUCCGCUACAUAUCAAAAGACUUUUAAAAAAAGAAAGACUUUAUCCAAGUGAACAUCCACAAAGUUUAAUCCAAAUGGGCGUGGGAGUGGGUUUCAGCUGCUCUGUGGGGCCUGUUAACGCUUUUGAAUUUAGAACCGAUGAACAAAUUUGUACACAGCGCCAAAACUAAAAUACAGUCCGUUUCAUGCACAUAUUUAUUUAUUUAUUUAUUUAUUUUUAAAAGCCCAUUCCUUUGUAAAAUUGUGAUGAGUUUUCAGACCGAAUCACAGGGCUUCGUUAAACAUUUGACACUUGAU